UGGGGAAUAUUGCACAAUGGGGGGAACCCUGAUGCAGCAAUGCCGCGUGGGUGAAGAAGCACUCCGGUGCGUAAAGCCCUGUCAGCAGGGAAGAAAAUGACAGUACCUGGACAAGAAGCCCCGGCUAACUACGUGCCAGCAGCCGCGGUAAUACGUAGGGGGCAAGCGUUAUCCGGAUUUACUGGGUGUAAAGGGAGCGCAGGCGGCGUGGCAAGUCAGAUGUGAAAACCCGGGGCCCAACCCCGGGAGUGCAUUUGAAACUGCCAUGCUGGAGUGCCGGAGAGGUAAGCGGAAUUCCUAGUGUAGCGGUGAAAUGCGUAGAUAUUAGGAGGAACACCAGUGGCGGAGGCGGCUUACUGGACGGUAACUGACGCUGAGGCUCGAAAGCGUGGGGAGCAAACAGG
This 404-nucleotide ribosomal RNA is filed under the name uncultured bacterium. RNAcentral's name for it is "bacterial SSU rRNA". It matches the Rfam family "Bacterial small subunit ribosomal RNA", at positions 355 to 776 of the family's 1533-position model. RNAcentral also lists the same sequence under 1 other name. The record is from RNAcentral.